CUGACUUGCCAAACAAUAUUUAUUUACAUGGUUUAGACUGAUUAACUAAAAACGAAGGACCAGUUAUAUACAUAAUUUGUUAAAGAAGUCCUGCCGCAAGAAAGAAAGAAAGAACAGCCGCAAGUUCUGUAUCUUCCGGUGACCGGCGCGUGGUGGCUUCGUUAGCACCACCGCCGGUCUAGUUAGCCUUGCCGUCUCUGUCCUUUGUAGAUCUGUUAGUUAGGUGUUGUUUUGGGGUGCGAAUCUGGGUCUGUGUUUGGUGACGAAGCAGACAGUCCGUGUCUCUUCGAGGUCUCGUCGGGACUCGGUGGUGGGGCGGGUGGAGACAGUCUGUGUGGUUGGUUUGUACGGAGGUCUCCGCUAGGCUUAAGCUUCGUUUCCUCUUCUCGCUUGUAUUCAUCUUCUCCUUUUUGUCUCUCAGCAAAUCUGGAUUACUAGAUGGUGUUUGUGUUCUGUCUGGUUUCAGCAACGGUAUAAGUGGUGGUGUGAUGGUGGCGGUUGUGUGCGAUGAGUAGAGCAUGCUUUUUAUUCUUCAGAAGUUGCAGGGUUCUUCUCACCUUUCCAUCUCUCAGGCAUGAAGGAGUCCUCGCGGCCUUAUAAUAAGUGUGGUUCCGGAUAUUCUCAUGAUUCUCUCGUUCUUCGGUGGCUUCGGUGGCUUCGGUGAAGCAAUAUAAUGAAGUUGAGGGUGUAGUCUUUCCGAUGAAGUUUCGCUUGAGGAGGGGGCUUUAGUUUCGGGUGUUUGUCUCUUCUAUAUUUGGAGUUUCUUGCAAUGCGUUUUGGCUCUGGUUUGGUACCGUGAACGGAUGGUUCAGGUAUGUUUGGUCCGGUGUUGUUGUGUUGGCCACUACUCCGCUUACUCUCUCUUGUGCUUGGUUGGUUCUUGGUAAGAGUGCCGGCUGUUUCUAUGACUGGACGACUUAUUUCUAUUAGCCUCUUCAAGGUUUGUCUUCGGUUUUGAUUAUAAGAGUGCAGUCUCAUCUUGUGUUUGACGUAGUUGUUGUAUGUGUUGCCCUUUGUUUG
This is a long non-coding RNA of Brassica oleracea var. oleracea, 1020 nucleotides long. RefSeq lists it as uncharacterized. The record is from RefSeq and is a predicted model, not a curated record. The transcript has 2 exons. NCBI's taxonomy places the organism in Eukaryota, Viridiplantae, Streptophyta, Magnoliopsida, Brassicales, Brassicaceae.